UACGGAGGGUGCGAGCGUUGUCCGGAAUCACUGGGCGUAAAGGGCGCGUAGGCGGCCUGAUAAGUAGGGGGUGAAAUCCUGAGGCCUAACCUCAGGGCUGCCUUCUAAACUGUCAGGCUUGAGCACAGUAGAGGCAGGUGGAAUUCCCGGUGUAGCGGUGGAAUGCGUAGAGAUCGGGAAGAACAUCAGUGGCGAAGGCGGCCUGCUGGGCUGUUGCUGACACUGAGGCGCGACAGCGUGGGGAGCAAACAGG
RNAcentral lists this ribosomal RNA (253 nucleotides) under uncultured bacterium. RNAcentral describes it as "partial 16S ribosomal RNA". It matches the Rfam family "Bacterial small subunit ribosomal RNA", at positions 524 to 776 of the family's 1533-position model. The record is from RNAcentral.